Molecule: ribosomal RNA, 468 nt
Filed under: uncultured bacterium
Lineage: Bacteria
Description: partial 16S ribosomal RNA
Rfam family: Bacterial small subunit ribosomal RNA
Source: RNAcentral
GACGAACGCUGGCGGCGUGCUUAACACAUGCAAGUCGAACGGAAAGGCCCUGCUUUUGUGGGGUGCUCGAGUGGCGAACGGGUGAGUAACACGUGAGUAACCUGCCCUUUACUUUGGGAUAACUUCAGGAAACUGGGGCUACUACCGGAUAGGAGCUCCUGCUGCAUGGUGGGGGUUGGAAAGUUUCGGCGGUUGGGGAUGGACUCGCGGCUUAUCAGCUUGUUGGUGGGGUAGUGGCUUACCAAGGCUUUGACGGGUAGCCGGCCUGAGAGGGUGACCGGCCACAUUGGGACUGAGAUACGGCCCAGACUCCUACGGGAGGCAGCAGUGGGGAAUAUUGCACAAUGGGCGGAAGCCUGAUGCAGCAACGCCGCGUGCGGGAUGACGGCCUUCGGGUUGUAAACCGCUUUCGCCUGUGACGAAGCGUGAGUGACGGUAAUGGGUAAAGAAGCACCGGCUAACUACGUG